This 396-nucleotide ribosomal RNA is filed under the name uncultured bacterium. RNAcentral's name for it is "bacterial SSU rRNA". It matches the Rfam family "Bacterial small subunit ribosomal RNA", at positions 28 to 420 of the family's 1533-position model. The record is from RNAcentral.
GAUGAACGCUAGCUACAGGCUUAACACAUGCAAGUCGAGGGGCAGCAUCAUCAAAGCUUGCUUUGAUGGAUGGCGACCGGCGCACGGGUGAGUAACACGUAUCCAACCUGCCGACAACACUGGGAUAGCCUUUCGAAAGAAAGAUUAAUACCGGAUGGCAUAGUUUUCCCGCAUGGGAUAAUUAUUAAAGAAUUUCGGUUGUCGAUGGGGAUGCGUUCCAUUAGGCAGUUGCGGGUAACGGCCACAACCAACGAUGGAUAGGGGUUCUGAGAGGAAGGUCCCCCACAUUGGAACUGAGACACGGUCCAAACUCCUACGGGAGCAGCAGUGAGGAAUAUGGUCAAUGGACGAGAGUUCUGAAACCAGCCAAGUAGCGUGAAGGAUGACUGCCCGUAU